Molecule: ribosomal RNA, 1370 nt
Filed under: human gut metagenome
Description: bacterial LSU rRNA
Rfam family: Bacterial large subunit ribosomal RNA
Source: RNAcentral
UGGAGCGCUUAGAAGUGAGAAUGCCGGUGUGAGUAACGUAAGGUAGGUGAGAAUCCUACCCACUGAUUGACCAAGGAUUCCAGGGUCAAGUUCGUCUACCCUGGGUAAGUCAGGACCUAAGGCGAGGCUGAGAAGCGUAGUCGAUGGACAACAGGUUUAUAUUCCUGUACUAUUUAUAGGACUGAAGGAGUGACAAAGGAAGCUAGUAAGAGCCAUUUAAUGGAUUAUGGUCUAAGCACAAAGACUGAUACAUAGGAAAAUCCGUGAUAUCGAACGGUUGAAGUGUGAUGGCGAAGCAGUCUACGGACAGCGAAGUCUUAUGAGGCUAAACUUUUUAAAAAAGCUUCUAAAGAUAUGCUAUAAAUACCUGUACUAAGAACCAACGCAGGUGGUCAAGGAGAGAAUCCUAAGGUGAGCGAGAGAACUAUGGUUAAGGAACUCGGCACAAUGAUCCCGUAACUUCGGAAUAAGGGAAGGUCUUGAAAAAGACCCGCAGUGAAUAGGCCCAAGCGACUGUUUACCAAAAACACAGGUUUCUGCAAAAGCGUAAGCUGAAGUAUAGGAGCUGACGCCUGCCCAGUGCUGGAAGGUUAAGAUGAUUUGUAAGAUGGACGAAAGUCGAUAACAUCGAAGCAAUGAAUUGAAGCCCCAGUGAACGGCGGCGAUAACUAUAAUCGUCCAAAGGUAGCGAAAUUCCUUGUCAGGUAAGUUCUGACCCGCACGAAAGGCGUAAUGAUCUGGGUACUGUCUCAACCAUAGACUCGGUGAAAUCUUAAUACCUGUGAAAAUGCAGGUUACCAGCGACAGGACGGAAAGACCCCAUGGAGCUUUACUGUAGCUUGAUAUUGAAAUCAGGUAGUUAAUGUAGAGGAUAGGUGGUAGACAAUGAAGUUAAGACGCUAGUCUUAAUGGAGUCGACCUUGGAAUACCACCCUUUGACUAUUUGAUUUCUAACUUGCACCCGUAAUCCGGGUGAAGGACAGUGUCUGGUGGGCAGUUUGACUGGGGCGGUCGCCUCCUAAAGAAUAACGGAGGCGCUCAAAGGUUCCCUCAGAUUGGUCGGAAAUCAAUCAAAGAGUGUAUUGGUAUAAGGGAGCUUGACUGCGAGACCAACAAGUCGAGCAGGUGCGAAAGCAGGACAAAGUGAUCAGGCGGUAGAAAAUGGAAUUGCCGUCGCUUAACGGAUAAAAGUUACCCUGGGGAUAACAGGCUGAUACCACCCAAUAGUUCACAUAGACGGUGGUGAUUGGCACCUCGAUGUCGGCUCGUCACAUCCUGGAGGUGGAUUCGCUUCCAAGGGUUGGGCUGUUCGCCCAUUAAAGUGGCACGCGAGCUGGGUUCAGAACGUCGUGAGACAGUUCGGUCCCUAU